CCUACGGGUGGCUGCAGUCGAGGAUCUUCGGCAAUGGGGGCAACCCCGACCGAGCGACGCCGCGUGGGCGACGAAGGCCUUCGGGUUGUAAAGCCCUGUCGAGGGGGAGGAAAGCCGCAAGGUCUGACCCAUCCCUGGAGGAAGCUCGGGCUAAGUUCGUGCCAGCAGCCGCGGUAAGACGAACCGAGCGAACGUUGUUCGGAAUCACUGGGCUUAAAGGGCGCGUAGGCGGGCGGCCGCGUCCGGGGUGAAAUCCUCCGGCUCAACCGGAGAAC
Molecule: ribosomal RNA, 275 nt
Filed under: uncultured Gemmata sp.
Lineage: Bacteria; Pseudomonadati; Planctomycetota; Planctomycetia; Gemmatales; Gemmataceae
Description: partial 16S ribosomal RNA
Rfam family: Bacterial small subunit ribosomal RNA
Source: RNAcentral